CAUAACCAUACCUCUGGAGCAAUUUGAACUGCUAAGAAGACCCCUAUUCAGAAUGGAAUCUACUAUUAAUGAAUUGACAGAUUCAGAAUGUUUGAUGGGUGUUACAAUUAAUGAAUUGACAGACUCAGAAUGUUUGAG
This is a long non-coding RNA of Thamnophis elegans (Western terrestrial garter snake), 138 nucleotides long. RefSeq lists it as uncharacterized. The transcript is spliced from 3 exons. Lineage: Eukaryota; Metazoa; Chordata; Lepidosauria; Squamata; Natricidae. The record is from RefSeq and is a predicted model, not a curated record.